This is a long non-coding RNA of Hirundo rustica (Barn swallow), 1345 nucleotides long. RefSeq lists it as uncharacterized. The transcript has 3 exons. The record is from RefSeq and is a predicted model, not a curated record. Lineage: Eukaryota; Metazoa; Chordata; Aves; Passeriformes; Hirundinidae.
CGCUGGCGCAGCAGAGCCGCCCUUGGCGGAGCGUCUGUGCGGGCCCGGGAGCGGCGGCAGCGGCCGGAGCCCGAUUCAACUCCUGACAGCCACCAAAGGGGCCCCAGAGCUGCGGCGGCCCAAGUUCCUCUCGCCUUUGCUGCGUGACUUCCUGAGCUGCUGCCUGCAGAGAGACGAGGCGCGGCGCUGCUCUGCCAAGGAGCUGCUGCAGCAUCCAUUUGUAACAUCAGCCAAGCCUGUGUCCAGCCUGGUGCCACUCAUCAUUUCAGUGAAUAAGUAGAAGGAGGUGUUGCUAGAGGACACGAAGAGAAAUGAUACUCACACUUAAGUCGUCCAGAACAGAAGAAGAAACUUUAUUUUGAUUACCUUGCUUAUAUAGAUUCUGGACAAUGUCCAGGGAUUGGAGAACAAGGUUACCACCUCUCCAUCCCACUGUCCAGGCUAGAAGUCAAUCAGUUGUCCCUCAUCAGAAAGGAAUGCGAAAAACAACUCUUUGUUUAUGUUACAAGCCUGAGAAGACUCCACUACCGGAAUGUAAACAUCAGAAGGCUAACAGAAUAGGGCAACAAGGAGGAGACAAGAAUGUGACAAUCACUUUAGAACUGUUCUCCAUCACCAGCUUAGAGUAGGAUUGUAGAGUAGAAUUGCAGCAAGGAUUGUAGCAUAGGAUUGUAGCACAGGAUUGUAAAUAAAUAAAGUUUCUGAAACCUCAACUCAUUUCAAAGAUUCCCCUCCUUCUGAGCCUGUGAGAAAGCUCAACAUUUCCUGAGACAGAAACUUUAGAGAAUUAAGGAUUUUAGAGGGGUUAAGAUUUAAGUAAGAGAUAAACUUUGCUGGAAUUAACUAAAGUAGAUAGGUAGGCUUUGCUGAAAUUAAAAGUUAGUAAUUAACUAAGAGAAACAGGGUUUGCGAUCACUCUUCCAUAUUUGAAUAACUGAUUACUUGUCAACUUUAUGUUUGGUUAGCUGUGUUUAUAAUGAAGAAGAGAGAAACUGAUAAAUAGCUUUUAGGAACAUAAGACAAUUGUAGGCCUCCUCUGCCCAGCAACCCAUUGAACAGCCACAAAGACAGGAAACAGGAGUCCUACCAAGGGUUCAUUUAUCACAUUUGUAUUGAAAAGGUAGAAAGGUCAGAAUGAGGAAGACUUCUUUACUUCCUCAUUUUGGGGACCCCUCUCCAUGAAAAGGACCACCAAUGCAUUUCAAAGAACAAACUACGCAUGCUUAAUUGCCUUUUAGCUAAUUACCAUAAGAACCAGGGAAUGGGAUGUACCAGCAUUAUGAAUAUGCAUUUGUGUUUUGGGUAUUCAAUACUUCUGUAAAUAAAAGGACUCUGGGAUCACCUA